AUUGGAAAUACUGUGACGAUAAUGUAAUUUACUUUAGAAUUUGAUUUUUGACUUUGAGCCACUGAUGAUGACUUCGAUUUGAAGUCGAAAUAUUUGGCAAAUUAAAAGAAUAAACUGAGCUAAUCCGACUUUAAAAUACAAAAUUAUUGAAGAAGCUCAUAAAAAACUACAA
This is a long non-coding RNA of Bradysia coprophila, 172 nucleotides long. The record is from RefSeq and is a predicted model, not a curated record. Lineage: Eukaryota; Metazoa; Arthropoda; Insecta; Diptera; Sciaridae.